CUACGGGAGGCUGCAGUAGGGAAUAUUGGUUAAUGGGCGAAAGCCCGAACCAGCAACGCCGCGUGCACGAUGAAGGCCUUCGGGUCGUAAAGUGCUUUUUGGAGGGAUGAGGAAGGACAGUACCUUCAGAAUAAGCCUCGGCUAACUACGUGCCAGCAGCCGCGGUGAAACGUAGGAGGCGAGCGUUAUCCGGAUUUACUGGGCGUAAAGCGUGUGCAGGCGGUUUGGUUAGUUGGAUGUGAAAGCUCCUGGCUUAACUGGGAGAGGUCGUUCAAUACUGCCAGACUUGAGGAUGGGAGAGGAAGGUGGAAUUCCGAGUGUAGUGGUGAAAUGCGUAGAUAUUCGGAGGAACACCAGUGGCGAAAGCGGCCUUCUGGCCCAUCUCUGACGCUCAUACACGAAAGCUAGGGUAGCAAACGGGAUUAGAUACCCUAGUAGUC
Molecule: ribosomal RNA, 440 nt
Filed under: uncultured bacterium
Lineage: Bacteria
Description: partial 16S ribosomal RNA
Rfam family: Bacterial small subunit ribosomal RNA
Source: RNAcentral